This 285-nucleotide ribosomal RNA is filed under the name uncultured bacterium. RNAcentral describes it as "partial 16S ribosomal RNA". It matches the Rfam family "Bacterial small subunit ribosomal RNA", at positions 333 to 635 of the family's 1533-position model. The record is from RNAcentral.
UGUGACCUACGGGGGGCAGCAGUGGGGGAUAUUGCACAAUGGGGGAAACCCUGAUGCAGCGACGCCGCGUGUGGGAAGACGGUCUUCUGGAUUGUAAACCACUGUCCCCAGGGACGAAAAUGACGGUACAUGGGGAGGAAGCUCCGGCUAACUACGUGCCAGCAGCCGCGGUAAUACGUAGGGAGCAAGCGUUGUCCGGAAUUACUGGGUGUAAAGGGAGCGUAGGCGGGGAUGCAAGUUGGGGGUCAAAACUAUCGGCUCAACCGAUAGUUGCACUCAAAACUG